GAGUGUCCAAUUAAAUUUCCAUACCAGAUAAGCAAUAAGUAAUUUUGUAGUUUAAAUAUGCCCUUGUUUGCAAUAUUUGGGACAUACUUAUACUAAAAAUAAUUCUUUAUUUGACAUUGAAUUUAACUGGGCAUC
Molecule: microRNA precursor, 135 nt
Filed under: Tupaia belangeri (northern tree shrew)
Lineage: Eukaryota; Metazoa; Chordata; Mammalia; Scandentia; Tupaiidae
Description: miRNA (ENSTBEG00000020511.1)
Source: RNAcentral